This 230-nucleotide ribosomal RNA is filed under the name uncultured bacterium. Its description in RNAcentral is "partial 16S ribosomal RNA". It matches the Rfam family "Bacterial small subunit ribosomal RNA", at positions 118 to 347 of the family's 1533-position model. The record is from RNAcentral.
UGGGCAACCUGCCCCAGACACAGGGAUAACCCCGGGGAAACCGGGGCUAAUACCGGAUACUCCGGUCGAGCCGCAUGACUCGAUCGGGAAAGCUCCGACGGUCUGGGAUGGGCCCGCGGCCUAUCAGCUUGUUGGUGGGGUAACGGCCUACCAAGGCGACGACGGGUAGCUGGUCUGAGAGGGUGACCGGCCACACUGGGACUGAGACACGGCCCAGACUCCUACGGGAG